CGCCUUUACAUUUCAGAUCCAAUAAUCAAAUCAAAUCACCUGAUUCGAUGUGCGCUGAAAAAUUUAGGUAUAAAAGAAAAAAACACCCCGCUACAUUCGGUUUGCAAAAGUUCCACUUUACAAUGAAAUUUUUCCUUGUGUUCGUAUUAAUAAUGGCUCUGGCAAUGAAUACUAUUUCUGCAUUACCAGAUCCAGAAGCACGUAGAUCGAAGCAAAAACCUCUGGGUAAGGACUAUUCUAAGCCUUGGUGGUGGGGAUAAAGAAGCACAUAGAGUGAACAAACCAUGAUAUGAGUUCAUCAAAAUAUGAUUUUACAGACAAAAAAAUAGAAAUAAAUUGCUGUAUUUCUUCACGAUAA
This is a long non-coding RNA of Wyeomyia smithii (pitcher-plant mosquito), 358 nucleotides long. RefSeq lists it as uncharacterized. The record is from RefSeq and is a predicted model, not a curated record. NCBI's taxonomy places the organism in Eukaryota, Metazoa, Arthropoda, Insecta, Diptera, Culicidae. The transcript has 2 exons.